RNAcentral lists this ribosomal RNA (512 nucleotides) under Candida albicans. RNAcentral's name for it is "eukaryotic LSU rRNA". The stretch from base 145 to 298 matches the Rfam family "5.8S ribosomal RNA". Lineage: Eukaryota; Fungi; Ascomycota; Pichiomycetes; Serinales; Debaryomycetaceae. The record is from RNAcentral.
GAGCUUCUGAUUUGCUUAUUGCACCACAUGUGUUUUUCUUUGAAACAAACUUGCUUUGGCGGUGGGCCCAGCCUGCCGCCAGAGGUCUAAACUUACAACCAAUUUUUUAUCAACUUGUCACACCAGAUUAUUACUAAUAGUCAAAACUUUCAACAACGGAUCUCUUGGUUCUCGCAUCGAUGAAGAACGCAGCGAAAUGCGAUACGUAAUAUGAAUUGCAGAUAUUCGUGAAUCAUCGAAUCUUUGAACGCACAUUGCGCCCUCUGGUAUUCCGGAGGGCAUGCCUGUUUGAGCGUCGUUUCUCCCUCAAACCGCUGGGUUUGGUGUUGAGCAAUACGACUUGGGUUUGCUUGAAAGACGGUAGUGGUAAGGCGGGAUCGCUUUGACAAUGGCUUAGGUCUAACCAAAAACAUUGUUUGCGGCGGUAACGUCCACCACGUAUAUCUUCAAACUUUGACCUCAAAUCAGGUAGGACUACCCGCUGAACUUAAGCAUAUCAAUAAGCGGAGGAA